RNAcentral lists this ribosomal RNA (671 nucleotides) under Paenarthrobacter nitroguajacolicus. RNAcentral describes it as "bacterial SSU rRNA". It matches the Rfam family "Bacterial small subunit ribosomal RNA", at positions 20 to 705 of the family's 1533-position model. The record is from RNAcentral. Lineage: Bacteria; Bacillati; Actinomycetota; Actinomycetes; Micrococcales; Micrococcaceae.
UGGCUCAGGAUGAACGCUGGCGGCGUGCUUAACACAUGCAAGUCGAACGAUGAUCCCAGCUUGCUGGGGGAUUAGUGGCGAACGGGUGAGUAACACGUGAGUAACCUGCCCUUGACUCUGGGAUAAGCCUGGGAAACUGGGUCUAAUACCGGAUAUGACUGUCUGACGCAUGUCAGGUGGUGGAAAGCUUUUGUGGUUUUGGAUGGACUCGCGGCCUAUCAGCUUGUUGGUGGGGUAAUGGCCUACCAAGGCGACGACGGGUAGCCGGCCUGAGAGGGUGACCGGCCACACUGGGACUGAGACACGGCCCAGACUCCUACGGGAGGCAGCAGUGGGGAAUAUUGCACAAUGGGCGCAAGCCUGAUGCAGCGACGCCGCGUGAGGGAUGACGGCCUUCGGGUUGUAAACCUCUUUCAGUAGGGAAGAAGCGAAAGUGACGGUACCUGCAGAAGAAGCGCCGGCUAACUACGUGCCAGCAGCCGCGGUAAUACGUAGGGCGCAAGCGUUAUCCGGAAUUAUUGGGCGUAAAGAGCUCGUAGGCGGUUUGUCGCGUCUGCUGUGAAAGACCGGGGCUCAACUCCGGUUCUGCAGUGGGUACGGGCAGACUAGAGUGCAGUAGGGGAGACUGGAAUUCCUGGUGUAGCGGUGAAAUGCGCAAGAUAUCAGGAGGA